GACGUAGGAUGCAAGCGUUGUCCGGAAUUAUUGGGCGUAAAGAGUUCGUAGGCGGUUACUUAAGUCUGAUGUUAAAUACCGAGGCUCAACCUCGGCAUGGCAUUGGAAACUGGGUGGCUAGAGUGCGGUAGAGGUCUCGGGAAUUCCAGGUGUAGCGGUGAAAUGCGUAGAUAUCUGGAGGAGCACCGGUGGCGAAAGCGCGAGACUGGGCCGUAACUGACGCUGAGGAACGAAGGCCAGGGGAGCAAACGGG
RNAcentral lists this ribosomal RNA (253 nucleotides) under uncultured bacterium. RNAcentral's name for it is "partial 16S ribosomal RNA". It matches the Rfam family "Bacterial small subunit ribosomal RNA", at positions 524 to 776 of the family's 1533-position model. The record is from RNAcentral.